Molecule: ribosomal RNA, 291 nt
Filed under: uncultured bacterium
Lineage: Bacteria
Description: partial 16S ribosomal RNA
Rfam family: Bacterial small subunit ribosomal RNA
Source: RNAcentral
GUGUCAGCAGCCGCGGUAAUACGUAGGGGGCAAGCGUUGUCCGGAAUUAUUGGGCGUAAAGCGCGCGCAGGCGGCGAUUUAAGUCUGACGUUUAAGCCCAGGGCUCAACCCUGGUUCGCGUUGGAAACUGGAUCACUUGAGUGCAGAAGAGGAAAGCGGAAUUCCACGUGUAGCGGUGAAAUGCGUAGAGAUGUGGAGGAACACCAGUGGCGAAGGCGGCUUUCUGGUCUGUAACUGACGCUGAGGCGCGAAAGCGUGGGGAGCAAACAGGAUUAGAUACCCUGGUAGUCC